RNAcentral lists this ribosomal RNA (1625 nucleotides) under Lankesteria abbotti. RNAcentral describes it as "SSU rRNA". It matches the Rfam family "Eukaryotic small subunit ribosomal RNA". The record is from RNAcentral. Lineage: Eukaryota; Apicomplexa; Conoidasida; Eugregarinorida; Lecudinidae.
ACCUGGUUGAUCCUGCCAGUAGUCAUAUGCUUGUCUCGCAGAUUAAGCCAUGCAUGUCUAAGUGUAAAUACUUUACAGUAAAACUGCGGAUGGCCCAUUACAACAGUUAUUGUUUGCUUGGAGCAUACCUCUACGGAUAUCCGUGGAAAUUCUACAGUUAAUACGUACCAUACUAAUUUUAUUAGUAUGUUGCAUAUUACUGUGAACGUUCAACAGGCUUGCCUGUUAACUAUGAACAAUUUUAUGCAUGAAUCGCUUCGGCGAAAGUCCAUCAAAGUUUCUGACCCAUCAGGUUCCGACGGUAAGGUAUUGGCUUACCGUGCCGAUAACGGGUAACGGGGGAUUAGGGUUCGAUCCCGGAGAGGGAGCUUGAGAGAUAGCUACCACAUCUAAGGAAGGCAGCAGGCGCGCAAAUUACCUAUCCCUGACUCAGGGAGGUAGUAAACAGCAAUACUGACGCAUGAUUUUAAUCGUGCGAUCGGGAAUGGAUGGUUUCUAAACAAAACCAUGAAAACCAUUAGAGGAAAAGUCUGGUGCCAGCACCCGCGGUAAUACCAGCUCUAAUAGCGUAUAUUAUUAAUGUUGCAGUUGAAACGUUCGUAGUCGAUCCUUAUCUGCUACAGUUUUAUGUUAUUUUCAAUAGCAUAUCUCUUCAGCGGAAAUUGCAUGGAUCCUUACAUGUUUCAUGUAAGGUUUUUCAUGUUUUACUUUGAGUGAAUCGGCGUGUUCCACGCAGGCAAUCUGCCUUGAACGAUUUACCAUAGUAUAAGGACAGUAUGGAAAUAUCUCCUUGUUCGUUUGAAGAUACUUUCGAUACGUAAAAGAACGGUUGAGGGCAUUCGUAUUCAACUGCUAGAGGUGAAAUUCUUUGAUUAGUUGAGGACGAACCAUUGCGAAAGCAUCUGCCCAGGACGUUUCUUUUGAUCAAGAACGAAAGUUAGGUGAUCGAAGAUGAUUAGAUACCGUUGUAGUCCUAACUAUAAACUUUACUAUCCAAGAAUUGGAUUGGUGACUUUACGCCUCUCCAGUACUUUCUGAGAAAUCAUAAGUCUUUGAGUUCUGGGGGGAGUAUAGUUGUAAGGCUGAAACUUAAAGGAAUUGACGGAAGGGCACCACCAGGAGUGGAACUUGCGGCUUAAUUUGACUCAACACGGAAAACCUUACGAGGAUAAGACAAACGAAGGAUUGACAGAUUGAUCGCUCUUUCUUGAUUGUUUGGGUGGUGGUGCAUGGCCGUUCUUAGUUCGUGGAUUAAUUUGUCUGGUUAAUUCCGUUAACGAACGAGACCUUAACUUGCUAAUUAGAAUUGUAGAUUUAUCUACUAUUCUGUUAGAAGGACCGUGUGUUCCUAACACAAGGAAGCGUGAGGCAAUAACAGGUCUGUGAUGCCCUUAGAUAUCCUCGGCAGCACGCGUGUUACAAUGAUGUGUAUAAAAUGUUUACUAUUCGAAAGAAUUGUGCAAUCAUUAAUACACAUCAACCCAGGAAUUGUUUGUUGGAACGUCAAACAUCAACUAGGAAUUCCUAGUAAACGCGUAUCAUUAGUUCGCGUUGAUUACGUCCCUGCCCUUUGUACACACCGCCUGUCGCAUCUAUUGAUUAGGUUGUAUCAUGAGUUAGGCGGA